RNAcentral lists this ribosomal RNA (450 nucleotides) under Triticum aestivum (bread wheat). RNAcentral describes it as "partial small subunit ribosomal RNA". The record is from RNAcentral. Lineage: Eukaryota; Viridiplantae; Streptophyta; Magnoliopsida; Poales; Poaceae.
AUGAUUAUUAUUAUUUUUUACUCUGCAAUUUGUAUUAUCUUAGAUACUGAUGUGGGCAUAGAUACGUCUACAAAUAUUACACGACACAAUUUUCAGGUAAUUUGUAUUGAUCAUUAUAUGAUAUUAUAUUUUAUUACCAGGGGCAAAAAUACUACACCAAUUUAUUUCUUGCGUAGAAUUGUUGAAGGCAUUUGCAAAAUAAGUAUCAAGAUGAGAGAUUAUGCACUUGAAGCUUACACGGGCCAUACAAAUGCACCCAUGCACAUGCAGCCGAGCCAAGGAAGUACUCCUGUACAUGCAUGCGUGAGGAAGGUGCAAGGAGGAGCCAGCCUUGCAUGCUACGAUGCCCAUGUACAUCACGUUGGGGCCACACAUCUUGUCAACCGAAGGAAACAUCAAUUCCGGCUGAGGCGUGUACAAGUUGGACUCCGUACGUCCUGCGUUCCGUAA